Long non-coding RNA from Macadamia integrifolia, 1654 nucleotides. RefSeq lists it as uncharacterized. The transcript is spliced from 5 exons. Lineage: Eukaryota; Viridiplantae; Streptophyta; Magnoliopsida; Proteales; Proteaceae. The record is from RefSeq and is a predicted model, not a curated record.
AGCUGGAUUUUCUUUCAUUUUUCAGUUGUCCAAAGCGAAGGGAAGCAUAUUGAAGAGUAAUUGAAUCCCCACCCCCACCACCCCAAAAAAAAAAAAAAAAAACUCAGAAUCGGAAAGAAAAGAUGUUUUGUUAAUAAUCCAUCAUAGAGAGAAACAAAACCCUCAACCCAUAUACACAGAUUGUCGAAGCACUUCGUCUUUCUCCGAGAGCGGUAGCAGAGUUCCGGUCGGCCUUCCUCUGGGUAAUUACAAAGAGACAAGUUAAUUGUUUGACAAUCCAAGAAGUUGCCAACAUUAGGUGGAGGAUUCGGAACUCCAGCAUAGGUAUCGUGGAGGGUUUAGUAGCAGAUCAGGGGAUGAUUCUGAGUCAUGGCAUUAUGGGUCCAGUGGUAGAGGAGUUACUGCAAACUCGGUUCCUUUCAGUAGCUGUCAUGCCUCCACUCUUGUUGAGGUUGCAAAAAAUCAUUUUUUGGUUGCCUACUUUGGUGGUUCUCGUGAGAGAGCACCUGAUGUGAAAAUUUGGUUGCAGACUUACAAGUUGAUCAAACUGAUACAAGGGGAAAGUUCUUGUCUAGGAUGGCUCAUGGCUUCCUCCUAUUGUGGUUGAUGAACGACCUAAUGUGCCAAUGUGGAAUCCAGUAUUUAUUCAAGCUUCCAUCAAAUGAAUUGCUACUGUUCUAUAAGAUUGGUCUGGAGGUUGAGAAGUGAGUUUUCAACCGUUCACUGUGUUCAUUGGCAAAUUUUCCUUAUUGGCAUUCUGUAUUCUCAUAUCAAAAUCCCUAAUUAUCAUUUUUUUCUCAAGCCAGUGAGAGCCGAUGCAGAUUAAGAAAGGUUCCAACACAAGUAUUCAUGCCAAACCGAUCCAAAAUCCUAGACUAAUGGGUUUAUAUGGGUCAUGAGCUGGGAAUUUUAUGUUUUUUUUAUUGAAAUGGGCCUAUUUUGAAAACCCAUUUACAAGGGAUAAGUAGCCCAUGCGAGUUUAAUGAUUUAACUGUAUCUAGUUUUGUAAAGUUGUGGAGUCUUGGGGAUAUCAAUAGAUUAGUUUCAUUGUUAGUUGUGAAAGACCUUGAAAAUAUAAAAUUCAUUAAACAUCUUGAAAAAAAUCCCAAUGUAAGCCCUUAGAAAUGUAAAGGCCAUUAGAUUAGGAGAAAGUUCGAAUGAGUGUCUAGAAACCUCCCAACCUCUCUGUAACAGGCUUUGCCUGCAAGCAUUUUGAAGAAGUUAAAAAGUUAAAUGAAAUUUGUGGUUUUAUGCCAAUAGUUGUGAGAUGUAGUGGAGCCUUGUGAGAAGCCCUAUUUUGGACUGUUGAAAAGCUAGUCAAUUUCUAGGUGGGAGGCCUUGUACAUAUUCUUCUUUAUCUUAAAAUGUUAGAGAAUUCUAUUCUUAAUACUGGUUUGUCCCUAUAUGUGAUCCUGUUACCUUGGACUAUUAUGUUCCUAAUACGGGUUGCCCCUCUAUGUGAUCCUGUUUCAAAUGACCUCUCACUGGCAUUGCUGGUUCAAGAUUGAUUUUGCAUUACCGGGCUGACCAAUUAAAAUCAAGAGUCUGACUGAGCAUUUAAUACAUGGUUCAGUCUUGGUUUCAGGAUUGAAGUCCGAUUGAUUAAUCGGUUGAUCUCUACAAGUAUCUAACCUGCCUAGACUGAUGGGACCAA